UGUAUAUAUUCACAUAUAUACACAUGAAUAUAUACAUGUAUAUAUAUUGUUAUUGUACGUAUAUUCACACAAAUGUAUAUAUGAAUAUAUACAUAUAUACACACAAAUAUAUGUUUACAUAAAUGUACGUGUACAUAUACUUUCAGAUCAAAAUCCUCUGGAUGACACAACUAUGCACUUUGUAGUUUUUACCAAAGAUGUAAGGAAAGAUUAGGCAAAUUCAGAGUAUUUUUAUCGUAUUAAUAUUGAACAUUAUUAUCCUGAAAUUUAAAGUCUACUUAGAGAUUUGAUAUUCUUACUGUUUCUGACUGAACAGAAUUUGAGUGAUUGUAUCCUGUAAAUAUGAUCCCUGUAAGUCCCACUGCUUAACAAUUAAUAUGUUAAUGACUUGGAAAGUAUUAGGCACAAAUAUUAAAAUUCACCAAGUGAGAUACAUUUAUAUACAUUUCCUGAAAAUGUAAUCAUUGCUAAAACCUUGCCAAUUUCAGUUCCCAGUAUUUCCUUCUGCCUUUUAAAAUUCAAAUCCCAUUCUCCUCCAAACUCCUCACUUUAAAUGUUUAUUAACA
This 566-nucleotide long non-coding RNA is filed under the name Marmota monax (woodchuck). The record is from RNAcentral. Lineage: Eukaryota; Metazoa; Chordata; Mammalia; Rodentia; Sciuridae.